GACGAACGCUGGCGGCGUGCUUAACACAUGCAAGUCGAACGGAAAGGCCCUGCUUUUGUGGGGUGCUCGAGUGGCGAACGGGUGAGUAACACGUGAGUAACCUGCCCUUGACUUUGGGAUAACUUCAGGAAACUGGGGCUAAUACCGGAUAGGAGCUCCUGCUGCAUGGUGGGGGUUGGAAAGUUUCGGCGGUUGGGGAUGGACUCGCGGCUUAUCAGCUUGUUGGUGGGGUAGUGGCUUACCAAGGCUUUGACGGGUAGCCGGCCUGAGAGGGUGACCGGCCACAUGGGGACUGAGAGACGGCCCAGACGCCUACGGGAGGCAGCAGGGGGGAAUAUGGCACAAUGGGCGGAAGCCUGAGGCAGAAACGCCGCGUGCGGGAUGACGGCCUUCGGGGUGUAAACAGCUGUCGCCUGUGACGAAGCGUGAGUGACGGUAAUGGGUAAAGAAGCACCGGCUAACUACGUG
RNAcentral lists this ribosomal RNA (468 nucleotides) under uncultured bacterium. RNAcentral's name for it is "partial 16S ribosomal RNA". It matches the Rfam family "Bacterial small subunit ribosomal RNA", at positions 28 to 507 of the family's 1533-position model. The record is from RNAcentral.